RNAcentral lists this transfer RNA (55 nucleotides) under Oscheius chongmingensis. RNAcentral's name for it is "tRNA-Pro". Lineage: Eukaryota; Metazoa; Nematoda; Chromadorea; Rhabditida; Rhabditidae. The record is from RNAcentral.
CAGCAUAUAGUUUAAGUAAAAAUAUAAUGUUUGGGUCAUUAAGAUUAGUUGCUGA